GCAAACUGGAGAUUCCCUUUCACGUCCACGUUGCCAAAAUCUCCACUGUACACGCUCAUCACACUGGUGCUCACCUGCAGAUGUCCGAAAGGAAGAGAAUAAAUGCUUUUUAAAAGGUAAGCAGAAAUCAUUAAGAGGACUCAUGCAAAGAAUAACUUUAUACAGCGGAUCCAGCAGAAAAUAUUUCACCUGCACCUCUCUUCAAAUUCUACUACACUGGUACCUUGAUACUCAACUGCUUUGGAACUCAUCAAGAGAUUAAAAACUUGCCUCAUCUUGAAGAAAUGCUGGGACCGAUUUGCUCAUCAUCUUAAUUUUUUCCGGACGCGAAAACUGACUGUCAGAGAAAGAAGGUGCUGUGGAAACUAAAAAGCAGCAAUUCACAUGGAGAAAAGCUAAUUAGAUUCUAGUCUUGCUAAAAAGAUUGACUCAUAAAAGUGUUCUUGGAAGAAAAAAAAAACCCCAAAACAUGCUUGAAAAACAUGUGCGUGCAAGUUACGUUUAAUAAAACCAGCAAAGUUUGCUGCAAAGAAGCUCAAAGAACUAACGUAAUUCAUGAUCUAUAAAAGUCCUUUCUGGGAUUUCAAAUCUCCUCUAAAAUAAGGAAUUUUUGCCAUUUCUCCAUUCCUACAACUACAAUAAUAUAGGUCCACAAGAAUUCUCCCAUGAGAUAUAAGCAAAGCUACAUGAGAUGGUGCUUAAGAGAUAAUUUAUACCAGAGCUUACAUUUUAUAUAAAUCAAGGAUUUGUGGCAAACCUGGUUUAUAAAUAAAUUUACCAAUGGGUUCAUUCAAUUUAUCCAUGUAUUAAACAGUUACCAAUAUCCCUCUGUGUGAAAAAAAAAGUGCCUCUAUCGAAUUGAAUAUUAUCACGAGAUUAUCUGACUUCUACUCUUCCUUGUCGACGUUCAACACCCUUCUUAAAUCAGGAUCUUUUGAAUGUAAUGGACUAAAUUUAAAGAUUUUACCAGAAAAUUGAAGUUGCGGAUGAUCAGACAAGGAAGGUACAGAGGAAGUUUAAGACCAGACGUUUUCAGACGUUUAUUAUUAUUUUUAACCACAUUUUUAAGGACUAUUUCCUGCUUCAAAACAUCAGAAAAAUGGGAUGCUAACCUUCAUCAUGAUACACUGAAGAUUAAAUUUAAAUGUUAACUGCAUCCCAGUACAGGUAAUCCUUAAUUUACAACCACAGUUGGGACCAGAAUUUUUGUGGCUAAGCAAGGAGGUUAAGUGAGUCACGCCUGGUUUUAUGAACUUUUUUGUCACAGUUAUUAAGUGAAUCGCUCUGUGAAGCAAAUCUGUCUUUCCCCAAUUACUUGUCAGAAACCCAGCUGAGAAAAGUUGCAAGUGGCAGUCACACGAUCUUUGGAUGCUGCAAUCACCGUAAAUAGAUGACAGCUGCCAAGAGCCCAAAUUUUGAUCAUGUGAGCUUGGAGAUGCUAUGAGGAUCGUAAAGUCCUACAGGUCAUGGUUGUCCCAAAGAUGAUUUUUCCAAAAGGCAACUGGAUUGUUGUGGUCCGCCAGCAGCCUGCGGAGCUGGCAGCGGAGUCGGACAGCGAUAGGCUGAGGAAGAACAUGGGCCAGUCCUGGAGGCUGCGGAAGGCCGGAUGAGGGCUCUGUAUCGGAGGCAGAGAUGGGACCAGGGCCAUCGGGAGUGAUGUGCGGACUUUGGAGCCUCCAGAGGCUGACAGUAGAGAGGCAGAGGAACAGGAGGAGCCUGUUCCUAGUGCACGUAUGAGUAGAGCUGCCAGAAGGCAGGAGCAGCUAAAGCAGAGAGGACGACUCGGGAGUAGGGCCAAGAGAUGAUUGGCCCCUCCCAUAAGGCUUAAAAGGCCAGCAACGGCUCUUGGCCUCUUUGCCAGAAAACAACAUUGAGAGAAUUGCUUCUUGUUUCACUGUAUUCAUUUCUUGUCUGCAUCUUCUGCUUCUGAACUUUUGCCAAGAAAAGCCUUUGGCAGUUUGCCUAAUUAUCCCAAGGUCGGUGAUAAACUGAGGAAUGGUGUUUUGAAGAAUUUGCUUUCAUUUAGUUUGGACUACGCUGAGAAUGAGUUAAUUCUCAGCUGUUCUAAUAAAGUCUGUUUGUUUUCGAA
Molecule: non-coding RNA, 2089 nt
Organism: Pantherophis guttatus
Lineage: Eukaryota; Metazoa; Chordata; Lepidosauria; Squamata; Colubridae
Source: RefSeq, a predicted model, not a curated record